GACGAACGCUGGCGGCGUGCUUAACACAUGCAAGUCGAACGGAAAGGCCCUGCUUUUGUGGGGUGCUCGAGUGGCGAACGGGUGAGUAACACGUGAGUAACCUGCCCUUGACUUUGGGAUAACUUCAGGAAACUGGGGCUAAUACCAGAUAGGAGCUCCUGCUGCAUGGUGGGGGUUGGAAAGUUUCGGCGGUUGGGGAUGGACUCGCGGCUUAUCAGCUUGUUGGUGGGGUAGUGGCUUACCAAGGCUUUGACGGGUAGCCGGCCUGAGAGGGUGACCGGCCACAUUGGGACUGAGAUACGGCCCAGACUCCUACGGGAGGCAGCAGUGGGGAAUAUUGCACAAUGGGCGGAAGCCUGAUGCAGCAACGCCGCGUGCGGGAUGACGGCCUUCGGGUUGUAAACCGCUUUCACCUGUGACGAAGCGUGAGUGACGGUAAUGGGUAAAGAAGCACCGGCUAACUACGUGCCAGCAGCCGCGGUGAUACGUAGGGUGCGAGCGUUGUCCGGAUUUAUUGGGCGUAAAGGGCUCGUAGGUGGUUGAUCGCGUCGGAAGUGUAAUCUUGGGGCUUAACCCUGAGCGUGCUUUCGAUACGGGUUGACUUGAGGAAGGUAGGGGAGAAUGGAAUUCCUGGUGGAGCGGUGGAAUGCGCAGAUAUCAGGAGGAACACCAGUGGCGAAGGCGGUUCUCUGGGCCUUUCCUGACGCUGAGGAGCGAAAGCGUGGGGAGCGAACAGGCUUAGAUACCCUGGUAGUCCACGCUGUAAACGGUGGGUACUAGGUGUGGGGUCCAUUCCACGGGUUCCGUGCCGUAGCUAACGCUUUAAGUACCCCGCCUGGGGAGUACGGCCGCAAGGCUAAAACUCAAAGGAAUUGACGGGGCCCCGCACAAGCGGCGGAGCAUGCGGAUUAAUUCGAUGCAACGCGUAGAACCUUACCUGGGUUUGACAUGGAUCGGGAGUGCUCAGAGAUGGGUGUGCCUCUUUUGGGGUCGGUUCACAGGUGGUGCAUGGCUGUCGUCAGCUCGUGUCGUGAGAUGUUGGGUUAAGUCCCGCAACGAGCGCAACCCUUGUUCACUGUUGCCAGCACGUUAUGGUGGGGACUCAGUGGAGACCGCCGGGGUCAACUCGGAGGAAGGUGGGGAUGACGUCAAGUCAUCAUGCCCCUUAUGUCCAGGGCUUCACGCAUGCUACAAUGGCUGGUACAGAGAGUGGCGAGCCUGUGAGGGUGAGCGAAUCUCGGAAAGCCGGUCUCAGUUCGGAUUGGGGUCUGCAACUCGACCUCAUGAAGUCGGAGUCGCUAGUAAUCGCAGAUCAGCAACGCUGCGGUGAAUACGUUCCCGGG
RNAcentral lists this ribosomal RNA (1343 nucleotides) under uncultured bacterium. Its description in RNAcentral is "16S ribosomal RNA". It matches the Rfam family "Bacterial small subunit ribosomal RNA", at positions 28 to 1378 of the family's 1533-position model. The record is from RNAcentral.